This 468-nucleotide ribosomal RNA is filed under the name uncultured bacterium. Its description in RNAcentral is "partial 16S ribosomal RNA". It matches the Rfam family "Bacterial small subunit ribosomal RNA", at positions 28 to 507 of the family's 1533-position model. The record is from RNAcentral.
GACGAACGCUGGCGGCGUGCUUAACACAUGCAAGUCGAACGGAAAGGCCCUGCUUUUGUGGGGUGCUCGAGUGGCGAACGGGUGAGUAACACGUGAGUAACCUGCCCUUGACUUUGGGAUAACUUCAGGAAACUGGGGCUAAUACCGGAUAGGAGCUCCUGCUGCAUGGUGGGGGUUGGAAAGUUUCGGCGGUUGGGGAUGGACUCGCGGCUUAUCAGCUUGUUGGUGGGGUAGUGGCUUACCAAGGGGUUGACGGGUAGCCGGCCUGAGAGGGUGACCGGCCACCCUGGGGCUGAGACACCGCCCAGACCCCUUCGGGGGGCCGCAGUGGGGAAUAUUGCCCAAUGGGCGGAAGCCUGACGCAGCCACCCCGCGUGGGGGAUGACGGCCUUUGGGUUUUAAACCCGUUUCCGCCGGGAAGAAGCGGUAGUGACGGUAAAUGGGGAAAAAGCCCCCGCCAACUUCCUG